UGGGGAAUAUUGCACAAUGGACGGAAGUCUGAUGCAGCAACGCCGCGUGCGGGAUGACGGCCUUCGGGUUGUAAACCGCUUUUUCUCAUGGCGAAGUUUUUUGACGGUAGUGGGGGAAGAAGCACCGGCUAACUACGUGCCAGCAGCCGCGGUGAUACGUAGGGUGCGAGCGUUGUCCGGAAUUAUUGGGCGUAAAGAGCUUGUAGGCGGUUUGUCGCGUCGAUAGUGCAAACUCAGUGCUUAACGCUGAGCCUGCUGUUGAUACGGGCAGACUAGAGGAAGGUAGGGGAGAAUGGAAUUCCCGGUGGAGCGGUGGAAUGCGCAGAUAUCGGGAGGAACACCGGUGGCGAAGGCGGUUCUCUGGGCCUUUCCUGACGCUGAGAAGCGAAAGCGUGGGGAGCGAACAGG
Molecule: ribosomal RNA, 408 nt
Filed under: Fusobacteriota bacterium
Lineage: Bacteria; Fusobacteriati; Fusobacteriota
Description: Fusobacteria bacterium partial 16S ribosomal RNA
Rfam family: Bacterial small subunit ribosomal RNA
Source: RNAcentral